CCUACGGGGGGCAGCAGUGGGGGAUAUUGCACAAUGGGGGGAACCCUGAUGCAGCCACGCCGCGUGGGUGAAGGAGCGUUUCGGCGCGUAAAGCCCUAUCGGCAGGGGAGAAGAUGACGGUACCUGACCAAGAAGCCCCGGCUGACUACGUGCCAGCAGCCGCAGUAAUACGUAGGGGGCAAGCGUUAUCCGGAUUUAAUGGGUGUAAAGGGGGCGCAGACGGCAAUGCAAGCCAGGAGGCAAAGCCCGGGGCCCAACCCCGGGACUGCGCUUGGAACUGCAAGGCUCGAGUACAGGAGGGGAAGGCGGAAUGCGUAGUGUAGCGGUGAAAUGCGUAGAUAUUAGGAGGAACACCGGUGGCGAAGGCGGCAUGCUGGACUGUGACUGACGUUGAGGCCCGAAGGCGUGGGGAGCAAACAGGAUUAGAUACCCUUGUAGUC
Molecule: ribosomal RNA, 440 nt
Filed under: uncultured bacterium
Lineage: Bacteria
Description: partial 16S ribosomal RNA
Rfam family: Bacterial small subunit ribosomal RNA
Source: RNAcentral